Long non-coding RNA from Pocillopora damicornis (cauliflower coral), 241 nucleotides. Lineage: Eukaryota; Metazoa; Cnidaria; Anthozoa; Scleractinia; Pocilloporidae. The record is from RefSeq and is a predicted model, not a curated record.
GCUAGGUCACAUGCUCAGUGUGGUAAAAUAGAAAGUAUAAUCAGCGAUUCAUUCUUCUUCAGAAAGGCGUUGGUGCAGGAGACAUUUCGCUGAAGCAAAUUUAUAUUACCUUGGGAAAGGCAUCAUUUUUCGAUAAAAUCAUAUCGAGAUGGAAAAAAUUGUGAUCUUUGCACUCGUUAUCCUGUCGUGUGUUACACUUUCUUCAGGUAGUGACCAUUCCACGUUGUCAAGUCCAACUGCA